Molecule: ribosomal RNA, 3018 nt
Filed under: Salmonella enterica subsp. enterica
Lineage: Bacteria; Pseudomonadati; Pseudomonadota; Gammaproteobacteria; Enterobacterales; Enterobacteriaceae
Description: partial 23S ribosomal RNA
Rfam family: Bacterial large subunit ribosomal RNA
Source: RNAcentral
GGUUAAGCGACUAAGCGUACACGGUGGAUGCCCUGGCAGUCAGAGGCGAUGAAGGGCGUGCUAAUCUGCGAUAAGCGCCGGUAAGGUGAUAUGAACCGUUAUAACCGGCGAUACCCGAAUGGGGAAACCCAGUGUGAUUCGUCACACUAUCAUUAACUGAAUCCAUAGGUUAAUGAGGCGAACCGGGGGAACUGAAACAUCUAAGUACCCCGAGGAAAAGAAAUCAACCGAGAUUCCCCCAGUAGCGGCGAGCGAACGGGGAGGAGCCCAGAGCCUGAAUCAGCAUGUGUGUUAGUGGAAGCGUCUGGAAAGGCGCGCGAUACAGGGUGACAGCCCCGUACACAAAAGCGCAUAUGCUGUGAGCUCGAUGAGUAGGGCGGGACACGUGGUAUCCUGUCUGAAUAUGGGGGGACCAUCCUCCAAGGCUAAAUACUCCUGACUGACCGAUAGUGAACCAGUACCGUGAGGGAAAGGCGAAAAGAACCCCGGCGAGGGGAGUGAAAAAGAACCUGAAACCGUGUACGUACAAGCAGUGGGAGCCCCACCACUAAGCCAGUGGUGAACUCCACAUACGCAUCCUUUGCUGAGGAUACGGUUAACGGAGCGAAAGCGACGUUCAACCUCAAAACAAGCAGAGGGGGCUUAGUGGUGGGGUGACUGCGUACCUUUUGUAUAAUGGGUCAGCGACUUAUAUUCUGUAGCAAGGUUAACCGUAUAGGGGAGCCGGAGGGAAACCGAGUCUUAACCGGGCGUUAAGUUGCAGGGUAUAGACCCGAAACCCGGUGAUCUAGCCAUGGGCAGGUUGAAGGUUGGGUAACACUAACUGGAGGACCGAACCGACUAAUGUUGAAAAAUUAGCGGAUGACCUGUGGCUGGGGGUGAAAGGCCAAUCAAACCGGGAGAUAGCUGGUUCUCCCCGAAAGCUAUUUAGGUAGCGCCUCGUGAAUUCAUCUCCGGGGGUAGAGCACUGUUUCGGCUAGGGGGCCAUCCCGGCUUACCAACCCGAUGCAAACUGCGAAUACCGGAGAAUGUUAUCACGGGAGACACACGGCGGGUGCUAACGUCCGUCGUGAAGAGGGAAACAACCCAGACCGCCAGCUAAGGUCCCAAAGUCAUGGUUAAGUGGGAAACGAUGUGGGAAGGCCCAGACAGCCAGGAUGUUGGCUUAGAAGCAGCCAUCAUUUAAAGAAAGCGUAAUAGCUCACUGGUCGAGUCGGCCUGCGCGGAAGAUGUAACGGGGCUAAACCAUGCACCGAAGCUGCGGCAGCGACACUAUGUGUUGUUGGGUAGGGGAGCGUUCUGUAAGCCUGUGAAGGUGUGCUGUGAGGCAUGCUGGAGGUAUCAGAAGUGCGAAUGCUGACAUAAGUAACGAUAAAGCGGGUGAAAAGCCCGCUCGCCGGAAGACCAAGGGUUCCUGUCCAACGUUAAUCGGGGCAGGGUGAGUCGACCCCUAAGGCGAGGCCGAAAGGCGUAGUCGAUGGGAAACGGGUUAAUAUUCCCGUACUUGGUGUUACUGCGAAGGGGGGACGGAGAAGGCUAUGUUGGCCGGGCGACGGUUGUCCCGGUUUAAGCGUGUAGGUGUGUGUUCCAGGUAAAUCCGGUUCACUUUAACACUGAGGCGUGACGACGAGGCACUACGGUGCUGAAGCAACAAAUGCCCUGCUUCCAGGAAAAGCCUCUAAGCAUCAGGUAACAUCGAAUCGUACCCCAAACCGACACAGGUGGUCAGGUAGAGAAUACCAAGGCGCUUGAGAGAACUCGGGUGAAGGAACUAGGCAAAAUGGUGCCGUAACUUCGGGAGAAGGCACGCUGACACGUAGGUGAAGUGAUUUACUCACGGAGCUGAAGUCAGUCGAAGAUACCAGCUGGCUGCAACUGUUUAUUAAAAACACAGCACUGUGCAAACACGAAAGUGGACGUAUACGGUGUGACGCCUGCCCGGUGCCGGAAGGUUAAUUGAUGGGGUCAGCGCAAGCGAAGCUCCUGAUCGAAGCCCCGGUAAACGGCGGCCGUAACUAUAACGGUCCUAAGGUAGCGAAAUUCCUUGUCGGGUAAGUUCCGACCUGCACGAAUGGCGUAAUGAUGGCCAGGCUGUCUCCACCCGAGACUCAGUGAAAUUGAACUCGCUGUGAAGAUGCAGUGUACCCGCGGCAAGACGGAAAGACCCCGUGAACCUUUACUAUAGCUUGACACUGAACAUUGAGCCUUGAUGUGUAGGAUAGGUGGGAGGCUUUGAAGUGUGGACGCCAGUCUGCAUGGAGCCGACCUUGAAAUACCACCCUUUAAUGUUUGAUGUUCUAACGUGGACCCGUAAUCCGGGUUGCGGACAGUGUCUGGUGGGUAGUUUGACUGGGGCGGUCUCCUCCUAAAGAGUAACGGAGGAGCACGAAGGUUGGCUAAUCCUGGUCGGACAUCAGGAGGUUAGUGCAAUGGCAUAAGCCAGCUUGACUGCGAGCGUGACGGCGCGAGCAGGUGCGAAAGCAGGUCAUAGUGAUCCGGUGGUUCUGAAUGGAAGGGCCAUCGCUCAACGGAUAAAAGGUACUCCGGGGAUAACAGGCUGAUACCGCCCAAGAGUUCAUAUCGACGGCGGUGUUUGGCACCUCGAUGUCGGCUCAUCACAUCCUGGGGCUGAAGUAGGUCCCAAGGGUAUGGCUGUUCGCCAUUUAAAGUGGUACGCGAGCUGGGUUUAGAACGUCGUGAGACAGUUCGGUCCCUAUCUGCCGUGGGCGCUGGAGAACUGAGGGGGGCUGCUCCUAGUACGAGAGGACCGGAGUGGACGCAUCACUGGUGUUCGGGUUGUCAUGCCAAUGGCACUGCCCGGUAGCUAAAUGCGGAAGAGAUAAGUGCUGAAAGCAUCUAAGCACGAAACUUGCCCCGAGAUGAGUUCUCCCUGAGACUUUAGGUCUCCUGAAGGAACGUUGAAGACGACGACGUUGAUAGGCCGGGUGUGUAAGCGCAGCGAUGCGUUGAGCUAACCGGUACUAAUGAACCGUGAGGCUUAACCUUACAACGCCGAAG